AAAACAUGGCUCCUUGUUGACAACAGAUAAGGAGUCGGACCUGCCCAGUGAAAUUUUUUAACGGCCGCGGUACUCUGACCGUGCAAAGGUAGCAUAAUCAUUUGCCUUAUAAUUCAAGGCUAGUAUGAAUGGUUUGACAAGAGUGUAGCUGUCUCUUUAUAAUUAAACAGAAUUUUAUUUACAGGUGAAGAAGCCUGUCUCAAAUUAAUAGACAAGAAGACCCUAUCGAGCUUUAAAGAAACCAAUAGAUUAAAUAGUUAACGGUACCAGAAACUUAGCUAUUGGAAACUUUAGCUGGGGCGCCUGCGGAACAAAAAAAGCUUCCUUUAAAAUUAAAGCGAAACAAAUAUUGAUCCAAAGCAUUUUGAUUAAAGGAAUUAGCUACCGUAGGGAUAACAGCAUUAUCUUUUUUAAGAGCUCUUAUCGAAAAAAAGGUUUGUGACCUCGAUGUUGGAUCAGAAUACCUAAAGAUGCAGCAGUCUUUAAGGUUGGUCUGUUCGCCCAUUAAAAUUCUACGUGAUCUGUU
RNAcentral lists this ribosomal RNA (526 nucleotides) under Trophon geversianus. RNAcentral describes it as "partial large subunit ribosomal RNA". It matches the Rfam family "Bacterial large subunit ribosomal RNA", at positions 1810 to 2609 of the family's 2925-position model. The record is from RNAcentral. Lineage: Eukaryota; Metazoa; Mollusca; Gastropoda; Neogastropoda; Muricidae.